UUUCCAGACUCCUACGGGAGGCAGCAGUGGGGAAUCUUCCGCAAUGGGCGAAAGCCUGACGGAGCAACGCCGCGUGAUCGAAUGAAGGCCUUCGGGUUGUAAAGAUCUGUUGACAGGGACGAAUAAGCAAUGCGAAUAGUUUUGUGUAUGACGGUACCUGUUUAGAAAGCUCCGGCUAACUACGUGCCAGCAGCCGCGGUAAUACGUAGGUGGCGAGCGUUGUCCGGAUUUACUGGGCGUAAAGGGAGCGUAGGCGGGCUUUUAAGUGAGAUGUGAAAUACUCGGGCUCAACUUGAGUGCUGCAUUUCAAACUGGAAGUCUAGAGUGCAGGAGAGGAGAAUGGAAUUCCUAGUGUAGCGGUGAAAUGCGUAGAGAUUAGGAAGAACACCAGUGGCGAAGGCGAUUCUCUGGACUGUAACUGACGCUGAGGCUCGAAAGCGUGGGGAGCAAACAGGAUUAGAUACCCCCGUA
Molecule: ribosomal RNA, 471 nt
Filed under: uncultured bacterium
Lineage: Bacteria
Description: bacterial SSU rRNA
Rfam family: Bacterial small subunit ribosomal RNA
Source: RNAcentral